UCUUGUGACCAGGAGUGGAGUCGUAGCGUGCUAGUAAUAAAGCCUCUUAUAUUUUACAGCAAGAACUGACUCUUGUGAUUGAUUGUGGUUGCCGUGACUUUCUUUGGACUGAAGGGUCACCGGCUAUUUAAGUUGGGGGGUCUUUCAUCUUGGGGGCUCAUCCGGGAUGUCAUGGUCACCCCACUCUCACAACAUCGGCCUUGGAGAUGGCAAUGACAAAGGGAUCAGAGAGGAAUUGAAGAUCUUCCGAGGGGUGGUUUCGAACCCAGUUCCUGGUACCAGCACAGUGGGCCCUCUGAGCCCCCUCUGGCUCCAAGCUUCUCCUUGGGGGAGAUUCGUGAGCACCUGGGGGAUGAAGACAUAAAGGAUCAUGGACUGCGACCAGGUGAUUUGUAUAUUGGAAGCGGCACCAACUGAAGGACUCCCUACAACCCCAAUGGAAAGGACCCUAUCAGGUACUCUUGACAAAUUCAUGUGCUGCAAAGGUAAAAGGAGUCCCCUCAUGGAUCCAUGUUACACACCUAAAACGAGCACCUGACCCAGUCCCUAUCUCGAUUCACUCCUGGACCUCUGAACCCAUCUCUGAUAUUCGUCUUCGACUUCGAAAGACCCCAGAGACACCCUCCAGAGAGACCUGACUAAGAUUCUUUUGUUCUCUUUCCUUUUUCUUUAAAAAAAAAAAUUCUUUUUUUUUCUUCUUUUCUUGAGA
Tupaia belangeri chinensis (Chinese tree shrew) is the source of this 709-nucleotide long non-coding RNA. RefSeq lists it as uncharacterized. The record is from RefSeq and is a predicted model, not a curated record. The transcript has 3 exons. Lineage: Eukaryota; Metazoa; Chordata; Mammalia; Scandentia; Tupaiidae.